Long non-coding RNA from Macaca fascicularis (crab-eating macaque), 1615 nucleotides. The record is from Ensembl. NCBI's taxonomy places the organism in Eukaryota, Metazoa, Chordata, Mammalia, Primates, Cercopithecidae.
UGUUACCCACAUCCAUGGAGAUAGAUUAUUUAUUAUAUAAUUCACCAAACUAAUGUCAUGUGCCCAAGUUGCAAUACCGCAAACUCUAAGGUAUGUUCAUGCAAUUCAAUGAAGGAGAAAGACUUUCAGACACAGGUGUACCUGACAUGAUAAAUGUGGGUAGGACUCUGGGCUUGAGUGUCAUUGUCCAGCCAUGUUUCAGAAGUGUGACCUGUCAGGGAAGAACCAGAGUUCCUUGUGCUCUCAGAGGGGAAGGCACACAGAUAUCCUCUCUUGUUCCCAGGAAAGGCAAUUGCACUAAUCUUGAUGAUGAGACUAUGCUCCUGUGCUGGCCUAUUAUAGUUUUUGACUGAAAUAGUCACUGUGAUCCCCAAUCACAUCUAUUCACACAGAAGUGUAUAAAGGUCAGGCCACAUUAUCAGCAUCACACAUUGACAUGUUUGAGAUAUGUCCCACUACCUUCUCCUGAGAUUGCAGACAAAAUCCCAAACUUCAAACGUUCACAAAAGGGAAGGUCUCAGAUUUUUUUUUUUUAAUGAUGCACUCUCUGGGACAGAUAUAUUCCCUCUAACCAUGAUGGAUAUUCUGAAUUACAAUAAACAUUGCAUGGAUGUAGGUUUUUAUAAAUUCACUGUGACUAAUAUAUUUAGCUGCUCCUCAAAUAUUUUGAAUAGAGAUUUGACAAUUUAGAUAACCUGGAUGUUUGGUUGGUUUCAUAUAAAUCUUCACGAGUAGAACAGCAUUGAACCUAUUCCAAAAUCUGUCCUCGAUCCAUGAUCACACUCAUCUCCCAGACCAGCUCCUUGAGCACAUCUCCCUACCUGGAAGAAGACUACUCUGGGCUUGGUGAGGGGAGGCCCCAGGAAGAGGACUGAGUUCUCAGAGGACACAGCCAGCAUCUUCCUCUCAGGGGUCCAGCUCACAUGGGAAAUGCUCUCUGAGAGUCACGGACAUCCUGUGCAAGAACAUGAAGCACCUGUGGUUCUUCCUCCUCCUGGUGGCAGCUCCCAGAUGGGUCCUGUCCCAGGUGAAGCUGCAGCAGUGGGGGAAGGACUGGUGAAGCCUUGGGAGACCCUGUCCCUCACCUGCGCUGUCAUGGUGGUUACUACUACUGGGCUGGAUCCGCCAGCCCCAGGGAGGGACUGGAGUGGAUUGGGAAUAUUGAUGGUAAUAGUGCGAGCACCAACUACAACCCCUCCCUCAAGAAUCGAGUCACCAUUUCAAAAGACACGUCCAAGAACCAGUUCUCCCUGAAGCUGAGCUCUGUGACCGCCCGGACCGGCCGUGUAUUACUGUGCGAGAGACACAGUGAGGGGAGGUGAGUGUGAGCCAGACACAAACCUCCCUGCAGGGGAGGCGGAGGCAGGCGCAGGUGCCGCUCAGGACCAGCAGGGGGAGCGCGGGGCCCACAGAGCAGGAGGCCGGGUCAGGAGCAGGUGCAGGGAGGGCGGGGCUUCCUCAUCUGCUCAGUGCUCUCCCUCCUCACCAGCACCUCAGCUGUCCCCAGGGCUCCUCUUUCUUUGAUAUCUGUGGUUCUGCUUCCUCACAUUCUUCUGCCAGAAAGGAGGAAGGCACAUUUUCCUCUUACAAUUGAGGUUUCACUGAUUACUAGGAA